Molecule: ribosomal RNA, 372 nt
Filed under: uncultured bacterium
Lineage: Bacteria
Description: bacterial SSU rRNA
Rfam family: Bacterial small subunit ribosomal RNA
Source: RNAcentral
UACGUAGGGGGCAAGCGUUGUCCGGAAUUACUGGGCGUAAAGGGCGUGUAGGCGGUAAAUUAAGUCAGAUGUGAAAGUCCACGGCUCAACCGUGGAAUUGCAUUUGAAACUGGUUUACUUGAGUGCAGGAGAGGAGAGCGGAAUUCCUAGUGUAGCGGUGAAAUGCGUAGAUAUUAGGAAGAACACCAGUGGCGAAGGCGGCUCUCUGGACUGUAACUGACGCUGAGGCGCGAAAGCGUGGGGAGCGAACAGGAUUAGAUACCCUGGUAGUCCACGCCGUAAACGAUGAGUGCUAGGUGUUGGGGGUCGAACCUCAGUGCCGCAGCUAACGCAUUAAGCACUCCGCCUGGGGAGUACGACCGCAAGGUUGAA